GUGGACUUGCUCUGAAUUCUUUCUUGUGAGAGAUCUAAGAGCCCUCUCUUGGGGUCUGGAUUGAGACCCUUUCCUGUAACAUUUUGAGCCAUGGUGGCACGCGCCUGUAAUCCCAGCUACUCAGGAGGCUGAGGCAGGAAAAUCGCUUGAACCUGGGAGGCAGAGGCUGCAGUGAGCCGAGACUGCACUGUUGUACUCCAACCUGGGUGCCAGAGGAAGACUCGGUCUCCAAAAAAAAAAGAAACAAAGAAAACUAUAAAGCAUUAUUUGUUUGUUUUGUUUGUUUGUUUUUAAAAAAAAGGAGAAUUAUUACCAAGAGGUGAUACCCAAGGAGACCGUGACAACCAGAUCACAUGAGAAAACGCGCCAUCUGGUGGUUGUAGUGGAGAGCCACGCCACAAGACAGCCAGAUGAGGAAGAAAGGCCUGGAUCAAAGACAAGAUGUAUAAGAGGCACCAUCUUGGAAGCAGGGAGCAGCCCUCUUCAGACACCAAAUCUGCCGACGACUUGACCUUGGACUUCCCAACCUCCAACUGUGAGAAUAUCAAUUUCUGUUCUUUAUAAAUUACUCAGUCUCAGGAUUUUGCUGGAGCAGCAGAAACUGACCAAGAUAAAUACUUUCUUAUAUCAGAAGACACUGGCCAGUAAUCCCAGCACUUUGGGAGGCAGAGGCAGGAGGAUCACUUGAGCCCAGGAGUUUGAGAUGAGCCUAGAUUUCAUGGCGAAACCCCAUCUCUACCAAAAAUACAAUUAGCUGACACUGUGGUCCCAGCUCCUUGGGAGGUUGAGGUGGGAGGAUCACUUGAGCCCAGGAGGCAGAAGUUGCAGUGAGCUGAGAUCAAGCCACUGCACUCCAACCUGGGUGACAGAGUGAGACCUUGUCUCAAAAAAAUAAAGAAAGAAAAAAAAAAAGACACUGAGACCACUUCAGAAAUGGAUACAGGUGUGGGAGGAGGCUGAAGCUUACAUAACUUUGCGGGCAUUCUUUAGAAAUUAGGUCUUAGAAGGACUAUGCAAAUGAGGAACCCUGAGGCUUAAGCAGCAAGUCUGCUUCCUGAAGGAAGUUAGGAGUGAAAGUACCCAGGCCCGGUGCUUGGCACAGAGCAGGCAUACAAAACUUCAGGUAUUACUGAAGAAUCCUGUAUCCAGCCUCUAUAUAUUAGGCCCUCAACAAAUCUCUAUUAAAUGCUACUGACCUAUAAUUUGUCACACCCUAGAAAACAGGUUCUAAUGAAGUUUUGCUGUUCAACAAAGAAUGACACAUACAGACUGCCAAUAAGGUCUUAUCAUUUUAAUCGAUUUUAAUGAUUAUUGCUCAUCUGCAAGGAUUAAUAUUGCAUUCAUUAAAAAUCAUUCAAUACAAAAUGAACUUGUUCUUCCCAAGUUGCUCUCCACAUGCUCCCUCUGAUGCCAGACUUUUUUUUUUUUUUUUUUUUUACAGUGUCCUUUGUUACAUGGCUUGACAGAGACAGAGCCCUUACCUAUUAUUCCUAUGGACACGGUAA
Molecule: long non-coding RNA, 1505 nt
Organism: Symphalangus syndactylus (siamang)
Lineage: Eukaryota; Metazoa; Chordata; Mammalia; Primates; Hylobatidae
Source: RefSeq, a predicted model, not a curated record